UGAGGAAUAUUGGUCAAUGGGCGAGAGCCUGAACCAGCCAAGUAGCGUGAAGGAUGACGGCCCUACGGGUUGUAAACUUCUUUUGUGCGGGAAUAAAGGAGCCUACGUGUAGGCUUUUGCAUGUACCGUAACGAAUAAGCAUCGGCUAACUCCGUGCCAGCAGCCGCGGUAAUACGGAGGAUGCGAGCGUUAUCCGGAUUUAUUGGGUUUAAAGGGAGCGUAGACGGGUUUUUAAGUCAGCUGUGAAAGUUUGGGGCUCAACCUUAAAAUUGCAGUUGAAACUGGAGACCUUGAGUACGGUUGAGGCAGGCGGAAUUCGUGGUGUAGCGGUGAAAUGCUUAGAUAUCACGAAGAACCCCGAUUGCGAAGGCAGCCUGCUAAGCCGCCACUGACGUUGAGG
This 400-nucleotide ribosomal RNA is filed under the name uncultured bacterium. RNAcentral's name for it is "bacterial SSU rRNA". It matches the Rfam family "Bacterial small subunit ribosomal RNA", at positions 355 to 751 of the family's 1533-position model. The record is from RNAcentral.